RNAcentral lists this ribosomal RNA (253 nucleotides) under uncultured bacterium. Its description in RNAcentral is "partial 16S ribosomal RNA". It matches the Rfam family "Bacterial small subunit ribosomal RNA", at positions 524 to 776 of the family's 1533-position model. The record is from RNAcentral.
GACAGAGGCUGCGAACGUUGUUCGGAAUUACUGGGCGUAAAGCGCAUGUAGGCGGCAGCGCAAGUCGGGCGUGAAAUCCCACGGCUCAACCGUGGAAGUGCACUCGAAACUGCGCAGCUAGAGUCCUGGAGAGGAAGGUGGAAUGCUUGGUGUAGAGGUGAAAUUCGUAGAUAUCAAGCGGAACACCGGUGGCGAAGGCGGCCUUCUGGACAGUGACUGACGCUGAGGUGCGAAAGCGUGGGGAGCAAACAGG